Leopardus geoffroyi (Geoffroy's cat) is the source of this 465-nucleotide long non-coding RNA. RefSeq lists it as uncharacterized. The transcript is spliced from 2 exons. The record is from RefSeq and is a predicted model, not a curated record. NCBI's taxonomy places the organism in Eukaryota, Metazoa, Chordata, Mammalia, Carnivora, Felidae.
CUUCAAUUCAUAUUCCACUUGUUGGAGUGUUUUCAUCAUUAUGACAUCAUUUGAUUCUCUCUACUAACUCAAGAAACAGGAAAGAAUACAUAAUGUUACUCCUAUUUUACAGAACUAGCUGUUGAAAUACAUGUUUGCUUUUCCCCAAUCAUAAGAAUUGCUGAACACUCUAAAAGCACCAGGCCUGAGGCCAAGGUCCACUUCGUCUUGGUACAGGAAGAGCUGCAUUCCAUCUGUUCUGGCCUCGAGGAAGCUUGCACAAAUCUAUCUUCCCUUUGCGUGUCUUAUGAAACUCCAUGACCCUUUAUGAAAUCUAAUAGAGGAAUUCCAUUUCCACCGGUAGAGGAGUGUCCAUCAAUAGCUUGCUGAUCAAUGGCUUUCCCCUGAAGGAAGCAGAGAGAAACAGCCAGAUGAGAAAAUGGACAUACGGCAUAUAGGUUCUGAAAACAGUCCAAUUAUGCCACA